UUUUUUUUUUCAGAAAUGGACAAAAAUACACAGAUUUAUUCAGAAUGUUAUACCGAUGAAGAUCACAUAAAAAUAUUUGGAAAAAUCAGAAGUAUGGAUUUCAAUAUGGGACAAGAUCCCUAAUGCGCCUUGAAAUGAGGAACUCAAAAGUCACGUGUAAACAAAAAUUCUCUGUGUAGUGAUAUUUGACACUUUUCUAUGAUAAACAAGUGACUGAGCUUAACCAUUUGAGUUAAUUUAGAAAGUAGGGGAACACAGAAUAAAUGUGUAAAAUCUAUGGAGCUAUUAAAUGUGUUCA
This 298-nucleotide long non-coding RNA is filed under the name Mytilus galloprovincialis (Mediterranean mussel). The record is from RNAcentral. Lineage: Eukaryota; Metazoa; Mollusca; Bivalvia; Mytilida; Mytilidae.